UCUGCGGAGAAGAGGAGUGCCUGCUCCCUCUCCCUGUUGGCUUCCUCCUCCCCACCUUGUCCUGCCAAUCAGCUGAGAGACUGACUCCACACAGCUUUAUCUCACCUCAAGGAAAGGCUAACAUACGCCAUCAGCCAGCACAGCAUUGACAGAGAAGUGAGGAGCAAGUGGUUCAGCAGUUCAGUAAAUAUGGCGGUCAACCUGAAACACUCUGCCCACUUGAGGAAGACUUGACUGUCAUCUGCACCCCGCAAGACAUGGUUCUCAGAGAUCUUACUAUACUACUGUAUUAUAUGAUUCUCCAAGUGAAGAGAAUGGAGGGAAGCAUUAUCUACAGAUCCAUUUUUAUGCUGCUGGAGCACUGAGGCACCACUCUUUUGCAAGUUCUGGAAAAAACAGAGCAGGGGUUACAUGGAAUCAGAAUGGGAGAGUCAGCAGCCACAAACCACAAGCUCCACAGGAACCAGGAAAAGAAAGACUACUCUGGGCCACCACUCCCAAUUAAGAAGCCUUGGUUACUCCAGGAAAUUCAUCUUUAGAGAAGAACAUCUAGAUGUUUUCCUAGGGAGUUUGCCGGUCAUUCUGUGAACAGGACAGGACAGGAGAGGGUGGAUGCAACCAGCAAAGCCUUCCACAGAUGAAUCAUAGAUUAACCCACCUCUUUGCAAUUACUCUUUCCCCUUCUGCCCUCCUUACCAACACCAAGCUGCAAGUGUGUCCAGGUUUUAAUCAGCAUGACAAUCCUACCUGCACUGCAGCCUCACCCAGCAAAUGCUCAAGCCUGGACCGCUUCCCCCACUGUUUCCUCUGUGAACAUGCUUCCAUUCAUCCUGUCUGAUGUGCUGUAACCUCUCAGUUGAUGAACCUGCCCACCCCCAUACAUUUGCCACCAGGUAUUCAUUGUUUUGUAUACUUUCCAACUAUCAUUUUGACGAUGCCUGAUGAGGGGGAAAGUCUCCAUUUGCCAGCCUCUGCAAAAUUAGAAAAAUACUUGUAAAUGUCCUUUGGAGAAUAUCACCAAGUUUUACGAGAAAGAAGGGCUAUAAAAAAUAAAAAGCAGUGGCUAAUAGCAUUCUAAAAAGAUGUUGGUCAGCUUUGGGGAGAAAUUACCUUUCAAUUUACAUGGACUGACUCCAUACAUUCAUUUAUUCAUUCAUUUUUUUGUAAUAAAUACUGAAAGUUUAUUAUUUACCACAGGCUACCACAGGUAGCAGGGCAAGAACCAUGAACAAAAAUGGUCUUCUAGUCCCAUCCUCAAGGAAUUUAGAAUUUAUGGGUAAAAUUACCAUUUGAAAUUUGAAUUUAUUUGUACACUGUUGGAAGUUCAGGACACUAAGAAAGCACCUUAAAAAAAAAAAAAAGCACAGAAACCAGACUUUGUAUUUCAUGGAAGGACUACUGGAGGAAGUAAUCUGAGAAAUAAAAUAGAAUCAGCCACAUUAAGGCAUGGGGUGGGGUGGGAUUGAGUGUUCCAAAUAGAGGAAAUAGUAUGCUAGAGCCUCAGAAGUGGCUCCCACCUGCCCAUAUGAAAAACUUCACACAUGAAUAUUGACUGUGCUCGGAAUGCCCUCCCAUCUACCACUCCCAAUCCACCAACUGUGGCAAAAUUCUCAACUCAGGCACUCACCCACUCUCUGAGGAACUAAUGGAAUCUUCCCCCACAGGUCUAGGCAUUUUCUUCCAUUUGUACCUUAUAUGUUCUAUGGUUUUAGCAAUGGGCACACUCUGUAAAAGUGUUGGGUUCCUCCUUGUA
Gorilla gorilla gorilla (western lowland gorilla) is the source of this 1753-nucleotide long non-coding RNA. RefSeq lists it as uncharacterized. The transcript is spliced from 4 exons. Lineage: Eukaryota; Metazoa; Chordata; Mammalia; Primates; Hominidae. The record is from RefSeq and is a predicted model, not a curated record.